GCCGUGAGGGCCGUGCCCGUCUGAAGGAGGCGGCAGAGCCGGCGUGUGGGUCCCCAGCACCUCGGCAGAUGUUGGGCUGCGCUCCCCAGAGUGGGAUUUGGUGCAGUGACAGCAAAGGCAGUGAGCGCAGCGCGUCCUCCCGCUCGGCUCCCGGCUCUGGGCCUGGGCCUGAUCUUGGGCUGCGAGAAAGCUGCAGAGGGGCUGUUCCUAAAGGCCUGUGGGGCCGGGACGAGGGGGAACGGGCACAGACUGGAGAGGGGCAGAUUGAGGCUGAUAGAAGGAAGAAUUUCUUCCCCGUGAGGGUGCUGAGGCCCUGGCCCAGGUUGCCCAGGGAAGGUGUGGCUGCCCCAUCCCUGGAGGGGUUCCAGGCCAGGUUGGAUGGGCCUUGGGCAGCCUGAGCCAGUGGGAGGUGUCCCUGCGCAUGGCAGAGGGUGGAACGAGAUGAUCUUUAAUGUCCCUUCCAACCCAAACUAUUCUAUGACUCUACGGAUACCUCAGCUCUGGGGGCUCCGUCCGUCAGGUUGUGCUCGGCUCCAGUGUAGGGUUGGUUCACAGCCGUGAGCCAUCACAAGGCAUGGAAACGUCCCCCUUUCUGCUCAGGUGCAGGUGAAGCAGCUGAGACUGGGGGGGAGCAAAAGCAGCUGCGAGUCCCAGUGCUCCCAGGCCCAUGGGAACAGCGCUGAGCCAGUGGGGCUUCCAAAAUUCCCACUUAUUUCUUUGGCUUCCUGGUUAGAACGGGUUUUUAGAUACGUCUGGAGGUUGGAGGAGCACCAAGAGGUGCCCACCCUGAUGCUCUCCAAGUGCCUCUGGGAUGCAGAAGGAGCAGCUUUCCCAGUAGGACUCCUGUGGCCCAGCUGGUGGAACAGGACCUUUCUGGCGAGCGCCUGCUGCCACCGGCUGGUAAUCGCUCUCCACUGCCUUUGUACAGACCUGCCCAGUUUGUGUUCCCGCUCACACCAUCGUUUAUGCAGCAGCUGUUUUGUUCCCAUUCACAGCCUUUUUUCAGCCCAGUUUCCAGAGUGAACCACACAGGAUUCGUACCUGAGAGCAAAGGGAGAGGCAGAACAUGGAGAGAAGGACCUCUCUAAUAGGAAUUAAGACUUUGCAUCUUUUUCUACUGAAAUAUUUUUAACCUGUUUCUGCCUUUCCAUGUCCUUUUUCCAUUGGUGCUUUCCGGGGUUGUUCCAGCCCUGGCACCAUCUUCUCUACCGGCACAGUGGUUGCGGGCUGAGCUCUUUGUAGACUUCAAGGCUUUCCAUUAUGAGGUGCGUCAAGUCGUGACAGGAACAGACUUUUCAAAGCUGUUUGUUUUCUGCCUCAUUCCUGCCACGAGGCUUCUUUUCUGCUUUUUAAAGAAUAUUUAAAGCACUGGGACCGUUUUUGCCGCAGUGCUUUAAUAGGAUUUGCAGCUGUGAAUGUGCUAUAAUAGAAUUUACAGCUGGUCUGAAGUAUCCCCUCUCUUAAAAUAAGAUUGCAGCUCCGUGAUUCAGGAGAACGUGCCUCCCACCAGCUGCUUUAGCUGGAGCUGUGGAUGCUCUGGAUCCGGAGGAGGAUACGAGCAAUCCCAGAAUGUUUGUGUGUGGCUCACUAGGAAGCACAAUCCCGUAGUUGGGGUCUGGAAGUAUCAACAAGCCUGUUUGGGUCUUUUUGCUGUGCUGGGGACUCACUUUCUGCUCUCUCCUGCAGUUUUUAACCUGCCAGGUUUUUUUUCUCCAUCAGUGCAAUGGGAAUAGGCAAACCUCAGCGUGUCUUUAGGCCGUCAGCUGAUGGGUUUGGGGGUUCUGUGGUCACUGCCGGAUCGGGAAGGUGGCAGGUGAGGGCAAUAGGAGGCGGGGCCAAGCGGGUGAUUGGCAGCGCCGGGUGAAGGGCAGGACCAGUCAGGAUGAAGGGCGUGGUUAAAUGAGUGCGUGGCCACGCGGGGCAAGGGGCGGAGCCAGAGGGAUGAGUGGCAGCGAGAGCAAUCAGCGCAAAGGGGGCGUGUCCAGGCUGGCCGAGGGGCGUGGCCAGGCGAGGAGCGGACGGUGCGUUCGCAGCCAUGGGUUUCGAGCGAGAGGCGGGGCCCGACGAGGCGAAGGGGGCGUGGCCUGGAGAGAGGCCUGGCUUGUCCAUUUGUAGGCGUUGCCUGACCAUUUAUGGGCGCUGCUCGGGGCGGUCCCGCUGUAUCUCGGGGCGGUUCCGGUUCCGGUUCCGGGCGCGGCAGCGCCAUGAAGGACUGCGAGUACCGGCAGAUCCCGCCGGCGGUGGCGGCCCCGGGGCCGGGUGCGAUCACCGGGAUUCUCUCCCAUAGUGUGGUGAUACUGGGAGCUGGAAUUCCCUUCUUCCUGGCCGAGGCUUCACUGCCAGAGCUUAUCAUUGUGUGUGUGAUUGUGACCAUCACUUUUGUGUGGUUUCUUGGGAAGGCUGUGUGUGUGUUUGUUUUAAUUCGUAAUUUUACCAAUAAUUUCUACAGCAGUGAAGAGCUCGGAUUGCCGCUUGCAAAGUCACCCUCCCCUUCCAGACACCCUUUGACGUGUUUCAUGUUGCAGCCUGUUUCUCCGAGUUGCUCAGCUAUUUGUCCAUGUGGCAAUUUUCUCUCUCCUUCCAUCUCUUCCUCUGGGUUUGAACUGAGCUUAAUCCUCCCCGGUGAUCCGGGAGGAAACUCCCCACCUCGUGCUGCAGCACCUGGGCCCAAUCCGGGCCACGCAGAGCCCUCUGCCACCAAUCAGCCUCUGUUUUGAGAUGAUGCUGCGUGGAGCUGCCGAUGCAGCCUCACAGGAGCCUGUGCCGACAGUGGGUUGCGCUAUGCGCGAUGCCGGGCUCAUUCGCUGUUUCUAUUCUGGUAGCGAGCGGCUCAGCUCUGCUUCGUGCCUGCACACCUCAUACAGAUUCCCCUAACCCUCAGCCUUUCAUUUCCACCUGGAGACGUGCAGAAGGGAUGUGUGACGUCUUGCUCAAGAGUGGACGGGUUCUUGUUCUUCCAAGCCGGCCUGGCGUGAGAAGGCGGGUCAGUGUUCAAUCAGGAAAUUGCUGUACGAUGGCCAGUUGUGGUCUGGGAUCCUGAACAAUAGCCCUGUGCUCUGUCACACACAUCCCCUGCGCUGCUGCAGCCUGGGAAUAUGGAGCCACUCCUUGUGCCAUGUCUGCUGAACACACACCUCAUGGGUGACCCUCGCUCUUGAACAGCUCAUUGUAUGACUCUAUGAGAAAUGCGCUCUUCCUUGUGAUAUGGGAGAUCACAGUCCCGUGUCUUUUUCCUUUGGCUUGAUUUGCUUCUCUGUGUGUUGUAGGACCUGUCUGGCUCAAUAGAUGAUGUCCCCAUGGGGACGGAAGGAGCCCUGAGCCCUGGAGUAAGCAUGUCAGGGAUAUCCAGCAGUCAAGGAGAGCAGAGUAACCCAGCUGAGUCUCCUUUCUCUCCGUGUACGUCUCCUCACCUGCCAGGCAUCAGAGGACCCUCCCCAUCCCCGGUCGGGUCUCCUGCCAGAGUUGCUCAGUCCCGUUCGGGUCCGCUUUCACCUGCUGCAGUACCAGGCCUCCUGGUUAUCCCAAAAUAAACCAAGGAGGAAUGAUGGGCACUGGAGCUCCUUCUGGCCAGGGAAUUAACAGUCCGGCUGGCAUGAUGAACCCCCAGGGCCCACCCUAUCCGAUGGGUGGGAAGGUGUCUAACAACUCCGCAGGGAUGGCGGCAAGCCCUGAAAUGAUAGGCCUUGGGGAGCAUUGCAUUAACACCUGUAUCUAAAAUGGACAAUGAUGCAGACGGGACACCAAGAGCAAAAUCCAAGUCAAAGAAUUACAAGCGGCCGAGGGACGGCGACUACAGCCCACCCGCCAAGCGGCACAAAGGGGAGAUGUGCAACAUCCCAUAUAGCGCCGGGCAGGAGCAGACGCCGCAGCAGCUGCCUCCAGCGCAGAGCCAGGAGCCGAGCCAGCAGCAAACGGCGCAGCCAUCUCCGCAGGAGGACCUCCCUAACCAAUAGGGGAGCACCUACCCCGCUGCUGGUUUAUUUGUUUCUUCGUUUUCGUUUUCUUUCUGAUCGAGAUUUGAAAAAGUUCCACGUGUUAAGAAUAAAUGUACGUUAAAUGUACGUUAAUGUACAUAAUAUAUAAUAAACACUUUACGCCUGUGAGGUGUUUGUCAGGGUUUCUGAUUCCCUUUCCGGAGAGCCAGGGCUGCAGCGGGACUCUGCGCUGCCUGUCGCCGCACGCACAGGUAGGAGGGGGAGGGAGCUGCCAAACCCUCCCUGUGCUCAGAGGACGUCAUCUCUGGGAAUGAGAUUUGGGAGGAAUGUGCAGGAGGGGAUUAUUGUUCCUCUUCUGGGGAUAAACAGACACUUCAGCCUCUUGUGUUGCCAAUCCGGGCGCAAAAGCAGCGCAGCUUACAAGAAAAUGGAUGGAAUUGUACUUCACAGCAGCCUGUGACCCUGGAUGCAGCUGGACUGCUGGUUCUCCAGAGGAGAAGAUGGUUUCCCAGCCAAGCAGAACCAGUGAGCUCGGGCUGCAAAGGGCAGGACUGAGGAGAGAAACCUCAGAGCAGGAACCAACCGAGACUGCAGCAUCUUCUGUUCAGGACGCGCCUGCAGCAGAAGCGUCAGGGCCCUGCAGCGCACCGCAAACCACACCACCUCCCGGAGGCGAGGGUCUUGCCCGCUCACUGCCUCCAUUCCAAGCUUGGAAGUUGCCUCAGUUCGUCACUGGGAUUUCCCCCCUCUGGUUUUGGAAACCUGAACAACAGAGAGCAUCUGGUUUCAGCCACUGUCUUAAUUCCUAUUAAAGAGGUCUUUCUCUCCAUGUUCUGCAUCUCCCUUUGCUCUCAGGUACAAAUCCUGUGUGGUUCAUUCUGGAAACUGGGCUGAAAAAAGGCUGUGAAUGGGAACAAAACAGCUGCUGCAUAAACGAUGGUGUGAGCGGGAACACAAACUGGGCAGGUCUGUACAAAGGCAGUGGAGAGCGAUUACCAGCCGGUGGCAGCAGGCGCUCGCCAGAAAGGUCCUGUUCCACCAGCUGGGCCACAGGAGUCCUACUGGGAAAGCUGCUCCUUCUGCAUCCCAGAGGCACUUGGAGAGCAUCAGGGUGGGCACCUCUUGGUGCUCCUCCAACCUCCAGACGUAUCUAAAAACCCGUUCUAACCAGGAAGCCAAAGAAAUAGGUGGGAAUUUUGGAAGCCCCACUGGCUCAGCGCUGUUCCCAUGGGCCUGGGAGCACUGGGACUCGCAGCUGCUUUUGCUCCCCCCCAGUCUCAGCUGCUUCACCUGCACCUGAGCAGAAAGGGGGACGUUUCCAUGCCUUGUGAUGGCUCACGGCUGUGAACCAACCCUACACUGGAGCCGAGCACAACCUGACGGACGGAGCCCCCAGAGCUGAGGUAUCCGUAGAGUCAUAGAAUAGUUUGGGUUGGAAGGGACAUUAAAGAUCAUCUCGUUCCACCCUCUGCCAUGCGCAGGGACACCUCCCACUGGCUCAGGCUGCCCAAGGCCCAUCCAACCUGGCCUGGAACCCCUCCAGGGAUGGGGCAGCCACACCUUCCCUGGGCAACCUGGGCCAGUGUCUCAGCACCCUCACGGGGAAGAAAUUCUUCCUUCUAUCAGCCUCAAUCUGCCCCUCUCCAGUCUGUGCCCGUUCCCCCUCGUCCCGGCCCCACAGGCCUUUAGGAACAGCCCCUCUGCAGCUUUCUCGCAGCCCAAGAUCAGGCCCAGGCCCAGAGCCGGGAGCCGAGCGGGAGGACGCGCUGCGCUCACUGCCUUUGCUGUCACUGCACCAAAUCCCACUCUGGGGAGCGCAGCCCAACAUCUGCCGAGGUGCUGGGGACCCACACGCCGGCUCUGCCGCCUCCUUCAGACGGGCACGGCCCUCACGGCCGGGACGAGCUGGAGAACAACCUGGACUGUGGCUGUUUGCUGGAAACGCCCUCCUCUGAAGUCCACACCACGCGUCUAAGAAAAUGCAAAGGAGAUGAAAUGGUCCAUUUGACAGAGCUCAGAGGGAGGCGUCUCCCUUUCAAUGUACAGCGAUAAAACCACACCGAGUUCAGCAGUCACUUUUGUCCUUCAGAGUUUACCAUUAAAAACAGUUAGGAAAGCGGUGCCUGUCAAUGGCAUAACAGGGCAAGUCGUCUUUCCCCCCCCAAACUCACUGUAAACGACAGUAACUUUGGUUAAAAUGAAAAAAAAAGUCUUCUAUGUAGACAGAACUUUGAUUCCUUUAAUAAGGGAUUCAGGACAAAUUUGAAGAGCAGUGGAAAGGGAGAGAGAAGGGGGAAGGUCUUCCCCCAAGGGAGAAGCAGGACAGCGCAGGGCAGACAGUGGAUUCUGAGGUGGUUUUGCAUAAACAAAGGGCAACAGUCAGUUUCUAAGUUCUCCACUCACGCACACGCACACGGGGUCUCGGAUCCCACAGCUGUCAUGACUGGCCAAUUAAAAACAGUACUUCACAAAUCACUUGUGAAACCAAAGAGUUCAUCAAAGGCAACACAGAGGUGUCCAACAGCCACGAGUCACGUAACGUGAACUCCGAGUGGUUCUCGUCCACCUUGGCCAGGGCGAGCAGUGCCCGAGCGGCUCAACACAUCAUGUCCACGCUCAUUGACUCCAAGGGUGGGUUCUGCAUGUUCAUCAAUCCGGCAUUCACGGACUCUGGUGUGAGGUUGACCAAAGACCUUUAUUGUUGCAAGUAGCAGCAUUACAUACCCUUUCUACUGUCUAUGCUGGUUUAACAUGCCCCGAGCUCUCUGCUAAUUGGUGCUUUCUCUUUCCUUUUUAGCUCUGCCACACCCUGCCUCCUCACUCCUCGCUGCUCAAGGACAUAUCCAACAAUUCAAGGUCAUCACCCACAUGUCCUCUGCCGGUCCAGAGAGCUGUACCCUAUGUCCUUACGCCCUUGCCACAUGGCGCCUUCCUGCGGGCCCUCCAGCCCAGACUCUAAGGGACCUCCCAUCAUCUGAGGAGGAAUGUUUUGCUGAGCAGUGGAGCCUGGAGGAGCCGAGACCCUGUCUCUGCCGAGACCCUGAUGCAACGCAUCACGUGGUAGCUCUGUGCAUGUGUGUGUGUGUGGCUUCCGAGCCUUUUCCACCCUGCGCACCACACGUCUCUGUCUCAGCGUCCCCUCCUGCUGCAAGUCUGCUCCUACCUGAGCAUACACAGCACAAAACAAAGACUCCAUCACCAGAACAAACCAAAGGGAGAAAGCAAAACCAGACCACGUGGUAUCAGCCUCCAAAGCGGCCCCAAAGCACAGGACCCUGAAGGUUCUCCAUGCCUUGCUGACCUACAUCAUCACAGCACCAAGACCUGCCAGCACCAAAGUCACCUCCCUGUCCUGCUCAUAAAAAACCCUGACAAACACCUCACAGGCGUAAAGUAUUUAUUAUAUAUUAUGUACAUUAACGUACAUUUAACGUACAUUUAUUCUUAACAUGUGGAACUUUUUCAAAUCUCGAUCAGAAAGAAAACAAAAACGAAGAAACAAAUAAACCAGUAGCGGGGUAGG
Long non-coding RNA from Cuculus canorus (common cuckoo), 7458 nucleotides. RefSeq lists it as uncharacterized. The record is from RefSeq and is a predicted model, not a curated record. Lineage: Eukaryota; Metazoa; Chordata; Aves; Cuculiformes; Cuculidae. The transcript is spliced from 4 exons.